This 292-nucleotide ribosomal RNA is filed under the name uncultured bacterium. RNAcentral describes it as "partial 16S ribosomal RNA". It matches the Rfam family "Bacterial small subunit ribosomal RNA", at positions 505 to 796 of the family's 1533-position model. The record is from RNAcentral.
GUGCCAGCCGCCGCGGUAAUACGUAGGGGGCAAGCGUUGUCCGGAUUUAUUGGGCGUAAAGAGCGUGUAGGCGGCCUGGUAGGUCAGCUGUGAAAACUCGAGGCUCAACCUCGAGACGCCGGUUGAAACCAUCAGGCUAGAGUCCGGAAGAGGAGAGUGGAAUUCCCGGUGUAGCGGUGAAAUGCGCAGAUAUCGGGAAGAACACCCGUGGCUAAGGCGGCUCUCUAGUACGGUACUGACGCUGAGACGCGAAAGCGUGGGGAGCGAACAGGAUUAGAAACCCGGGUAGUCC